Molecule: ribosomal RNA, 262 nt
Filed under: uncultured bacterium
Lineage: Bacteria
Description: partial small subunit ribosomal RNA
Rfam family: Bacterial small subunit ribosomal RNA
Source: RNAcentral
AGGACGAACGCUGGCGGCGUGGAUUAGGCAUGCAAGUCGAGCGAUAUCUACCUUCGGGUAGUGAAAGCGGCGAACGGGUGAGUAACACGUGAACAACCUGCCCUCACAUUCCGGAUAAUAGACUGAAAAGUCUUGUAAUACGGGCGAGGAUUUUCUUAGGCAUCUUUAGAAAGGGAAGGCGCAAGCCGUGCGAGGAGGGGUUCGCGGAUUAUCAGAUAGUUGGUGGGGUAACGGCCUACCAAGUCUACGACGAUUAGCUGGU